Molecule: ribosomal RNA, 515 nt
Filed under: uncultured bacterium
Lineage: Bacteria
Description: bacterial SSU rRNA
Rfam family: Bacterial small subunit ribosomal RNA
Source: RNAcentral
AGAGUUUGAUUAUGGCGUCAGGAUGAACGCUAGCGGCAGGCCUAAUACAUGCAAGUCGUACGGGAUAGACACUUCGGGUGUCUUGAGAGUGGCGCACGGGUGCGCAACGCGUAUGCAACAACCCCCGACGGGCGGAUAGCCGGUGGAAACGCCGGAUAAUACGCCAUGGUUCCUGAGAGGGGCAUCCCUCUCAGGAUAAAGCAGUGAUGCGGUCGGGGACGGGCAUGCGUCCCAUUAGAUUGUAGGCGGGGUGACGGCCCACCUAGUCGACGAUGGGUAGGGGAUCUGAGAGGACGGUCCCCCACACUGGUACUGAGACACGGACCAGACUCCUGCGGGAGGCAGCAGUAAGGGAUAUUGGGCAAUGGUCGGAAGACUGACCCAGCCAUGCCGCGUGAGGGAAUGAGGCCCUACGGGUCGUGAACCUCUUUUAUUCGGGGACAAGGACGGCGUCGAGAACGUUGUUUGAGGGUACCGAAGGAAUAAGCGUCGGCUAACUCCGUGCCAGCAGCCGC